GGUACGGGUGAGUAACGCGUGAGAAUCUGCCAUCAGGUCUGGGACAACCACUGGAAACGGUGGCUAAUACUGGAUGUGCCCUUCGGGGUGAAAGGUUAACUGCCUGUUGAUGAGCUCGCGUCUGAUUAGCUAGUAGGUGUGGUAAAGGCGCACCUAGGCGACGAUCAGUAGCUGGUCUGAGAGGACGAUCAGCCACACUGGGACUGAGACACGGCCCAGACUCCUACGGGAGGCAGCAGUGGGGAAUUUUCCGCAAUGGGCGAAAGCCUGACGGAGCAAUACCGCGUGAGGGAGGAAGGCUCUUGGGUCGUAAACCUCUUUUCUCAGGGAAGAACACAAUGACGGUACCUGAGGAAUAAGCAUCGGCUAACUCCGUGCCAGCAGCCGCGGUAAUACGGAGGAUGCAAGCGUUAUCCGGAAUGAUUGGGCGUAAAGCGUCCGCAGGUGGCGAUGUAAGUCUGCUGUUAAAGAGUCUAGCUCAACUAGAUAAGAGCAGUGGA
RNAcentral lists this ribosomal RNA (500 nucleotides) under uncultured cyanobacterium. RNAcentral describes it as "bacterial SSU rRNA". It matches the Rfam family "Bacterial small subunit ribosomal RNA", at positions 99 to 630 of the family's 1533-position model. The record is from RNAcentral. Lineage: Bacteria; Bacillati; Cyanobacteriota.